This 482-nucleotide ribosomal RNA is filed under the name uncultured bacterium. Its description in RNAcentral is "bacterial SSU rRNA". It matches the Rfam family "Bacterial small subunit ribosomal RNA", at positions 29 to 506 of the family's 1533-position model. The record is from RNAcentral.
UUGAACGCUGGCGGAAUGCUUUACACAUGCAAGUCGAGCGGCAGCGCGGGGGCAACCCUGGCGGCGAGCGGCGAACGGGUGAGUAACACAUCGGAACGUACCCUGUCGUGGGGGAUAACACAUCGAAAGAUGUGCUAAUACCGCAUACGACCUGAGGGUGAAAGCGGGGGAUCGCAAGACCUCGCGCGAUAGGAGCGGCCGAUGUCGGAUUAGCUAGUUGGUGAGGUAAAGGCUCACCAAGGCGACGAUCCGUAGCUGGUCUGAGAGGACGACCAGCCACACUGGAACUGAGACACGGUCCAGACUCCUACGGGAGGCAGCAGUGGGGAAUUUUGGACAAUGGGCGCAAGCCUGAUCCAGCCAUGCCGCGUGCGGGACGAAGGCCUUCGGGUUGUAAACCGCUUUCAGCCGGAAAGAAAUCGUCAAGGCUAAUAUCCUUGAUGGAUGACGGUACCGGAAGAAGAAGCACCGGCUAACUACGU